This 119-nucleotide ribosomal RNA is filed under the name Ipomoea nil (Japanese morning glory). The record is from RNAcentral. Lineage: Eukaryota; Viridiplantae; Streptophyta; Magnoliopsida; Solanales; Convolvulaceae.
GGAUGCGAUCAUACCAGCACUAAUGCACCGGAUCCCAUCAGAAACUCCGAAGUUAAGCGUGCUUGGCGAGAGUAGUACUAGGAUGGGUGACCCCCUGGGAAGUCCUCGUGUUGCAUCCC